RNAcentral lists this ribosomal RNA (254 nucleotides) under uncultured bacterium. RNAcentral describes it as "partial 16S ribosomal RNA". It matches the Rfam family "Bacterial small subunit ribosomal RNA", at positions 524 to 776 of the family's 1533-position model. The record is from RNAcentral.
UACGGGGGGAGCAAGCGUUGUUCGGAUUUACUGGGCGUAAAGGGCGCGUAGGCGGUCGUGACAAGUCACUUGUGAAAUCUCCGGGCUUAACUCGGAACGGUCAAGUGAUACUAUCGGACUAGAGUACAGAAGGGGCAACUGGAAUUCUCGGUGUAGCGGUGAAAUGCGUAGAUAUCGAGAGGAACACCUGCGGCGAAGGCGGGUUGCUGGGCUGAUACUGACGCUGAGGCGCGAAAGCCAGGGGAGCGAACGGG